RNAcentral lists this unclassified non-coding RNA (481 nucleotides) under Hevea brasiliensis (rubber tree). The record is from RNAcentral. Lineage: Eukaryota; Viridiplantae; Streptophyta; Magnoliopsida; Malpighiales; Euphorbiaceae.
CCCUGAGUUACGCUUGCAAGAUGCAAAGCCUAAUUUCUUUCCACGGCGUAAACCAAUCCCUGCCAAUGCCAAAAGGGUCAAGUCUGUAGCAGCCACAACAUUACUGACUUGUCGUACAGUUGCACCUUUUCUUCCAUGAUCAUAAAACCACUCGAAGAUUCCCUUAUCAUAAGCUAGUUUCCAAAUGACGCCAUGUCCACCUGGCUUUGAAACAGGUGUGAAUGGUUUUGUUAUCAACCAUUGCCCAUCUUCUGCACCAACAGCAGGAACAAGAGGCUGCUCAAAGAGUUGGAAAUUGGAUCGACCUCUUCCAAACCAGCUGAGCCUUUCACAAAGAUAAGUGAUACGCUCGUGGUUAUUCUUAGCUGAACUUGUCAUGAUUGCAACAGGGGUGAUGCAUUGUUUUCCAUACAGCUUGUAGUACAAGAACUCCCUAGCCUGAAGAUCUCUUAUAAGGCCUUCCAAUAAAGUCCGUCCACAA